RNAcentral lists this ribosomal RNA (253 nucleotides) under uncultured bacterium. RNAcentral's name for it is "partial 16S ribosomal RNA". It matches the Rfam family "Bacterial small subunit ribosomal RNA", at positions 524 to 776 of the family's 1533-position model. The record is from RNAcentral.
GACGUAGGGGGCCAGCGUUGUUCGGAAUUACUGGGUGUAAAGGGCUCGUAGGCGGUGCGGCAAGUUGGGAGUGAAAUCUCUGGGCUUAACCCAGAGGCUGCUUCCAAAACUGCUGUGCUUGAGUGUGGGAGAGGCGCGUGGAAUUGCGGGUGUAGCGGUGAAAUGCGUAGAUAUCUGCAGGAACACCCGUGGCGAAAGCGGCGCGCUGGACCACUACUGACGCUGAGGAACGAAAGCUAGGGGAGCAAACAGG